AUGGUGAAACUGCGAACGGCUCAUUAAAUCAGUCAUGGUUCAUUGGAUCGUACAAUCCCACGUGGAUAACUGUGGUAAUUCUAGAGCUAAUACAUGCAACACAGCCCGGACCGCCUCGCGGCGGUCCUGGGUGCUCUUAUUAGACCAAGCCAGCCGGGUCGCAAGGCCCGCCUCCACUGGUGACUCUGGAUAACACCUGGCAGAUCGCACGGCCCUCGAGCCGGCGACGUUUCCUUCAAAUGUCUGACUUAUCAAUUGUCGACGGGCGGUGACAUGCCUCCCGUGAUGACGACGGGUAACGGGGAAUCAGGGUUCGAUUCCGGAGAGGGAGCCUGAGAAACGGCUACCACAUCCAAGGAAGGCAGCAGGCGCGCAAAUUACCCACUCCCGACACGGGGAGGUAGUGACGAAAAAUAACGAUGCGGGACUCUUUGGAGGCCCCGUAAUCGGAAUGAGCGCACGCUAAACCUGUGUGCGAGGAUCUAUUGGAGGGCAAGUCUGGUGCCAGCAGCCGCGGUAAUUCCAGCUCCAAUAGCGUAUACUAAAGUUGCUGC
This 554-nucleotide ribosomal RNA is filed under the name Macrochaeta sp. 184615563. RNAcentral describes it as "SSU rRNA". It matches the Rfam family "Eukaryotic small subunit ribosomal RNA", at positions 78 to 616 of the family's 1831-position model. RNAcentral also lists the same sequence under 7 other names. The record is from RNAcentral. Lineage: Eukaryota; Metazoa; Annelida; Polychaeta; Terebellida; Acrocirridae.